This 485-nucleotide ribosomal RNA is filed under the name uncultured bacterium. RNAcentral's name for it is "partial 16S ribosomal RNA". It matches the Rfam family "Bacterial small subunit ribosomal RNA", at positions 355 to 828 of the family's 1533-position model. The record is from RNAcentral.
UGGGGAAUAUUGCACAAUGGGCGCAAGCCUGAUGCAGCCAUGCCGCGUGUGUGAAGAAGGCCUUCGGGUUGUAAAGCACUUUCAGCGAGGAGGAAGGUGGUGAGCUUAAUACGCUCAUCAAUUGACGUUACUCGCAGAAGAAGCACCGGCUAACUCCGUGCCAGCAGCCGCGGUAAUACGGAGGGUGCAAGCGUUAAUCGGAAUUACUGGGCGUAAAGCGCACGCAGGCGGUUUGUUAAGUCAGAUGUGAAAUCCCCGGGCUCAACCUGGGAACUGCAUUUGAAACUGGCAAGCUAGAGUCUCGUAGAGGGGGGUAGAAUUCCAGGUGUAGCGGUGAAAUGCGUAGAGAUCUGGAGGAAUACCGGUGGCGAAGGCGGCCCCCCUGGACGAAGACUGACGCUCAGGUGCGAAAAGCGUGGGGAGCAAAACAGGAUUAGAUACCCUGGUAGUCCACGCUGUAAAACGAUGUCGAUUUGGAGGUUGUG